AUUGAACGCUGGCGGCAGGCCUAACACAUGCAAGUCGAACGAGUGGCGGACGGGUGAGUAAUGUCUGGGAAACUGCCCGAUGGAGGGGGAUAACUACUGGAAACGGUAGCUAAUACCGCAUACCAUCGGAUGUGCCCAGAUGGGAUUAGAUUGUAGGUGGGGUAACGCCUCACCUAGGCGACGAUCCCUAGCUGGUCUGAGAGGAUGACCAGCAACACUGGUACUGAGACACGGUCCAGACUCCUACGGGAGGCAGCAGUGGGGAAUAUUGGGCAAUGGGCGAAAGCCUGAUGCAGCCAUGCCGCGUGUAUGAAGAAGGCCUUCGGUUUGUAAAGUACUUUCCGCGGGGAGGCGUUACCCGACGAAGAAGCAACGGCUAACUCCGUGCCAGCAGCCGCGGUAAUAC
RNAcentral lists this ribosomal RNA (406 nucleotides) under uncultured bacterium. RNAcentral's name for it is "partial 16S ribosomal RNA". It matches the Rfam family "Bacterial small subunit ribosomal RNA", at positions 30 to 526 of the family's 1533-position model. The record is from RNAcentral.